This 428-nucleotide ribosomal RNA is filed under the name Bacteroidota bacterium. RNAcentral describes it as "Bacteroidetes bacterium partial 16S ribosomal RNA". It matches the Rfam family "Bacterial small subunit ribosomal RNA", at positions 355 to 776 of the family's 1533-position model. The record is from RNAcentral. Lineage: Bacteria; Pseudomonadati; Bacteroidota.
UAGGGAAUCUUCCGCAAUGGACGCAAGUCUGACGGAGCAACGCCGCGUGAGUGAAGAAGGAUUUCGGUUCGUAAAACUCUGUUGUUAGAGAAGAACAGCGCAUAGAGUAACUGUUAUGCGUGUGACGGUAUCUAACCAGAAAGCCAGGCUAACUACGUGCCAGCAGCCGCGGUAAUACGUAGGUGGCAAGCGUUGUCCGGAUUUAUUGGGCGUAAAGCGAGCGCAGGCGGUCAAUUAAGUCUGAUGUGAAAGCCCCCGGCUCAACCGGGGAGGGUCAUUGGAAACUGGUUGACUUGAGUGCAGAAGAGGAGAGUGGAAUUCCAUGUGUAGCGGUGAAAUGCGUAGAUAUAUGGAGGAACACCAGUGGCGAAGGCGACUCUCUGGUCUGUAACUGACGCUGAGGCUCGAAAGCGUGGGUAGCAAACAGG